Molecule: long non-coding RNA, 714 nt
Organism: Scylla paramamosain (green mud crab)
Lineage: Eukaryota; Metazoa; Arthropoda; Malacostraca; Decapoda; Portunidae
Exons: 4
Source: RefSeq, a predicted model, not a curated record
GUGUGUGUGUGUGUGUGUGUCGCUUUCUUUUCCUCUUGUUUCAAACUUUGUCUCUUUCGCCAGGUUUCCCCUUGACUUGACUUCCUUAUCUUUUCUUGCUCUUUGGUCUCUUCACUCUAAUUCAGGUUGAUUUUAACACUUGUUGCUGACCUUCCACUGUUCCUGUACCUGAUGCAUCUCCCUCCUUGCGUCAAACACGCUGACACAACCGCUAUUGCUGUUCCGCUGUUGCUGCUCCUCACUACCUACUGGAGCGCCAUCCAUUAUGUAAAAAUUGAAGACUUAUCCAUGUGCUGCAUCAGCCACUUAACACCCGUCACUUUACCUCCACGCCUUCAGAUGCAGACGUGACUCGUAUUGGUGACGAUGUGACGAAGAUGAGGGAGAAAGAGAAGAGAAGAGGAGACUUCAAAGCGUGUAUUGGUCGAUGUUCCGUGCAGUCUCGUCUCUUGGCUGUGAACAUUCCGUCUGUCGCCUGGUUCCAUGCGUCAAUGCAACAUUCUUCAUCUUGGAAGAACUUCAUCAAUGACAGCGGAACUCGCUCUUUCAUAAGAGGGUGCAUCAGCUACCAAUUGUCUAAGUUAAUGUAACAUUGUGUGUCAGACUCCUUGAUUGACAGUGUAGCCGGUUAAUGAAUAUCAGAGCUGUUAAGAGUCUGAGGGGCUCCCAAAUAUACAAUUUCCCAAAUAUACAACUAAGUUAUUUAUUUAUUUA